Molecule: ribosomal RNA, 563 nt
Filed under: uncultured marine euryarchaeote
Lineage: Archaea; Methanobacteriati; Methanobacteriota
Description: bacterial SSU rRNA
Rfam family: Archaeal small subunit ribosomal RNA
Source: RNAcentral
ACCGCUAUUGGGAUUCGAUAAUCCAUGCGAGUCGAGUAUCUUAGGACUCGGCAUACCGCUCAGUAACACGUGGGUAACCUGCACCUAUGCUGGGGAAUAACCUCGGGCAAACUGAAAAUAAUGCCCCAUAGUCCACCAUGCCUGGAACUGAGUUAGGUGGAUCAAAGCCCCAGCCGGCUUAGGAUGGGCCUGCUUGCGUAUCAGGUUGUAGGGGGUGUAACAGUACCCUCUAGCCAUCAACGCGUACGGGUGUUGGGAGACAUAGCCCGGAGAUGGAUUCUGAGACACGAAUCCAGACCCUACGGGGUGCAGCAGGCGCGAAAACUUGGCAAUGCGAGAAAUCGUGACCAGGGAACUCCAAGUGGCUGGGGUAAGACCCAGUCUUUUCUUGACUCUUCAAAGGUCUUGGAAUAAGGGGUGGGUAAGGACGGUGCCAGCCGCCGCGGUAAUACCGGCGCCUCAAGUGGUAGUCGAUUUUAUUGGGCCUAAAACGUCCAUCGCCUGUUUGGUACAUUCGUGGGUAAAUCAACCAGCUCAACUGGUUGAAUUCUGCGAGCACGGGC